Molecule: transfer RNA, 86 nt
Filed under: Paracoccaceae bacterium
Lineage: Bacteria; Pseudomonadati; Pseudomonadota; Alphaproteobacteria; Rhodobacterales; Paracoccaceae
Description: Rhodobacteraceae bacterium (hydrothermal vent metagenome) tRNA-Leu
Rfam family: tRNA
About the family: Transfer RNA (tRNA) molecules are approximately 80 nucleotides in length. Their secondary structure includes four short double-helical elements and three loops (D, anti-codon, and T loops).
Source: RNAcentral
GCCCGAGUGGCGGAAUGGUAGACGCAGGGGAUUCAAAAUCCCCCGGUAGCAAUACCGUGCGAGUUCGAGUCUCGCCUCGGGCACCA